GACGAACGCUGGCGGCGUGCUUAACACAUGCAAGUCGAACGGAAAGGCCCUGCUUUUGUGGGGUGCUCGAGUGGCGAACGGGUGAGUAACACGUGAGUAACCUGCCCUUGACUUUGGGAUAACUUCAGGAAACUGGGGCUAAUACCGGAUAGGAGCUCCUGCUGCAUGGUGGGGGUUGGAAAGUUUCGGCGGUUGGGGAUGGACUCGCGGCUUAUCAGCUUGUUGGUGGGGUAGUGGCUUACCAAGGCUUUGACGGGUAGCCGGCCUGAGAGGGUGACCGGCCACAUUGGGACUGAGAUACGGCCCAGACUCCUACGGGAGGCAGCAGUGGGGAAUAUUGCACAAUGGGCGGAAGCCUGAUGCAGCAACGCCGCGUGCGGGAUGACGGCCUUCGGGUUGUAAACCGCUUUCGCCUGUGACGAAGCGUGAGUGACGGUAAUGGGUAAAGAAGCACCGGCUAACUACGUGCCAGCAGCCGCGGUGAUACGUAGGGUGCGAGCGUUGUCCGGAUUUAUUGGGCGUAAAGGGCUCGUAGGUGGUUGAUCGCGUCGGAAGUGUAAUCUUGGGGCUUAACCCUGAGCGUGCUUUCNAUACGGGUUGACUUGAGGAAGGUAGGGGAGAAUGGAAUUCCUGGUGGAGCGGUGGAAUGCGCAGAUAUCAGGAGGAACACCAGUGGCGAAGGCGGUUCUCUGGGCCUUUCCUGACGCUGAGGAGCGAAAGCGUGGGGAGCGAACAGGCUUAGAUACCCUGGUAGUCCACGCUGUAAACGGUGGGUACUAGGUGUGGGGUCCAUUCCACGGGUUCCGUGCCGUAGCUAACGCUUUAAGUACCCCGCCUGGGGAGUACGGCCGCAAGGCUAAAACUCAAAGGAAUUGACGGGGCCCCGCACAAGCGGCGGAGCAUGCGGAUUAAUUCGAUGCAACGCGUAGAACCUUACCUGGGUUUGACAUGGAUCGGGAGUGCUCAGAGAUGGGUGUGCCUCUUUUGGGGUCGGUUCACAGGUGGUGCAUGGCUGUCGUCAGCUCGUGUCGUGAGAUGUUGGGUUAAGUCCCGCAACGAGCGCAACCCUUGUUCACUGUUGCCAGCACGUUAUGGUGGGGACUCAGUGGAGACCGCCGGGGUCAACUCGGAGGAAGGUGGGGAUGACGUCAAGUCAUCAUGCCCCUUAUGUCCAGGGCUUCACGCAUGCUACAAUGGCUGGUACAGAGAGUGGCGAGCCUGUGAGGGUGAGCGAAUCUCGGAAAGCCGGUCUCAGUUCGGAUUGGGGUCUGCAACUCGACCUCAUGAAGUCGGAGUCGCUAGUAAUCGCAGAUCAGCAACGCUGCGGUGAAUACGUUCCCGGG
RNAcentral lists this ribosomal RNA (1343 nucleotides) under uncultured bacterium. RNAcentral describes it as "16S ribosomal RNA". It matches the Rfam family "Bacterial small subunit ribosomal RNA", at positions 28 to 1378 of the family's 1533-position model. The record is from RNAcentral.